UCUCACCCGACCCAAGCCACGCCACCCUUUCUUCUUCCCCAUCUCGCCGAUUCCCUUUCUCCCCUUCGCUUCCUCGCGCCACCAUCCGAAGCCCGCAACGGCGUCGGUCGAUCGCCGACCUCGCUCACCCCGCACCGAUAGAGCCUCCCUCUCCCAUCAGCUCUUCGUCGCCGACCACCAACGCCACCCGACGCUGUGCCCUAGCAUGUAGCCGAGUCCACCUCUUCGUCACCGGCGCAGAUCUGGCCAUCGCCUUCACAGACUUAGCCGCAGACACCCAACCCUCGUCGGGAGCCAAGCACUCGAUCCCACCUUUCCGGCGGAGCCUUAGCCGUCACUGUGCCGCCGUGCGAUCAUGCCGGAUCUCGGUUUGAGGGCGUCCGAUCGCGUCAGAUUUGUGCGUCGCCGCCGUAUCAUCGGGAGCCACUACCACCGGAAGGGAGAUUCGACGCAAAGGAAGAUAGGGCUAUCCUUCCCCUUGUUUGAGGACCCAGCCGAGCAAGGGAGGUCAUCACUGGAGGGAUCUCUGCUGCGGAGCCAUAGAACUCUUCCCCUAUCAUGCGGAUUCCUUCACUGGAGUGGUACCACGAUCCUUGUCCCAACAAGCUCGCUAUCAAACAUGGAUGCAUUGCUAAGAUCCGAUGUUUGAUGAAAUUCCUAAUUCCUCGUGCUGUCUCUGUUCGUGUUGUCAACGCCGUCAUCGACCACCAUCCUUCAUGAGUAGUUGUGGGAUCAGUGAACAACCCGGGAGAAGAUUAGCGAGCAAAUGAGUGACGAAGCCCUUAACCUAAGCUUUGUUGAUUUAUGAUCAGUGAUGAUUUAGGGUUCUUUGAUUUGGAUGGCAGCACUUAUAUCAAGCUUCGAUCAUUGUUGUGAUACCAUGUUCUUAUCGGAUCCAAGGUGAGAGUCUUACUUCUAUUGCUGUGGCGAUUGAAUAUCUUCGUCAAGCGGAGAAUCGGAUUUGGAUGUGGACUCGAGACGAGCGUCUUGAAGCGAGACUACUUGACACGAUCGACAGAUAAAGGUAGCAGGUAAAGGAUUUAUAGAGUCGCCGGGAGAUCCUGCCCGCCAGUUCCACAUCACAUUCGAGGACAUUCUUAUGAUUUUGGUAUUCUUACGCUAUUUAUAUUUGGUUUCAUUUCUUGUUCUUGUGUUAUGUAUCUUGUAUUUGGUUUGAUAUUAUUGUGUCAAGCCGAGCCGGCUCGCAGUUAG
Molecule: long non-coding RNA, 1212 nt
Organism: Zingiber officinale
Lineage: Eukaryota; Viridiplantae; Streptophyta; Magnoliopsida; Zingiberales; Zingiberaceae
Exons: 4
Source: RefSeq, a predicted model, not a curated record